GACGAACGCUGGCGGCGUGCUUAACACAUGCAAGUCGAGCGGUAAGGCCCUUUCGGGGGUACACGAGCGGCGAACGGGUGAGUAACACGUGGGUGACCUGCCCUUAGCUCUGGGAUAAGCCUGGGAAACUGGGUCUAAUACCGGAUAUGACUCCAUGACGCAUGUUGUGGGGUGGAAAGCCUUGUGCGGCUAGGGAUGGGCCCGCGGCCUAUCAGCUUGUUGGUGGGGUGAUGGCCACCAAGGCGACGACGGGUAGCCGGCCUGAGAGGGCGACCGGCCCACACUGGGACUGAGACACGGCCCAGACUCCUACGGGAGGCAGCAGGUGGGGAAUCUUGCGCAAUGGGCGAAAGCCUGACGCAGCGACGCCGCGUGA
RNAcentral lists this ribosomal RNA (376 nucleotides) under uncultured bacterium. RNAcentral's name for it is "bacterial SSU rRNA". It matches the Rfam family "Bacterial small subunit ribosomal RNA", at positions 28 to 404 of the family's 1533-position model. The record is from RNAcentral.